GGUCUAUUGGCCGGGCGCUGCCCCAAGACCCCGCGAUCCUGCAGUGGUGGGAGGAGAUCGCGGAUCGCCGGCCCUCCCAGCCAGCACCGUUUUUAGCCCACUCCUCCAGGAUGCCCGUGGCCGGCGCGCUCUCCAGGCCGGCACGCUUUGACUCAAGAAUCUCAAGCACACACCGGAAACUAGAAUAAAAUUACUGAGACUUGAACAUCCAGAGACCAAGGGCGUCACUGGCAGAAAAGCGGAGGCGAAUCCGAACUCCAGGAUGCAGCCGCUCCUUACACGGAUCCACGGCGAGAGCCGCCCCGCCCAGAGACGUGGCUUCCUAGGAGCAGUUCACACGCAGCUCUGCAGCAGCGACAAGCGGGGCCGGGGGGGCUGUUUUCGGAGUUCACAGUCUACAGAGAUCUUAGCAAAAACACGCCCAUGGUCCUUAAGGGUGCCUACACCAGGCUUUUGUCACAACUCAGUGACUAGGAAGACUAGGUAGGGUGAUCAAAAGCUCUGACGAUGUGUGUGAUUAAAAGUAGGAAAAUGUGGUCGCCAGAUAAAAUGUUGUAACAUAUAGUGGGGCGGGAGGGGGGGAAGAUAGGGAUAAAAAAUGUGGAAACCAUUUAUUUUAAAAUUUUGAAUGUUCCUGCAGUCUUCAUAUAUUCUGAUUAUCUUUAGAAAGAAACUGCUCUCAAUCUAUUUAUGUCUUCCCUUUAGUUUUAAAAUAUUAAACAAUCAUCUAACUUACUAUUUUACCUCUAGUCAUGUUACUAGGUUGGGAUAAUAAAAAGGACAGUGAACUUCACAUUUGCUAUCUGUAACAGAUUCUUAUUGAAGCAAUUUUGCACCAAGAGGAUUUCUUACUCAGCCAAAAUUACCAAAUGGAGAAAAGAGCUGGUCCCACCUCUCACCAGGCACAACCAUGUAAAGUGACUUAGGGUAAUUCUCGUGUUCAUGCUUUGCCCUCACCACUGCAAAGCCCUGUCCUGGUGCCUCUGCACAUCUCUCUGAAGCCAGGUUGACCUCAGGCAACGUGAGGGGCCCUUCAUUUGACCUUCCCCAGAACCUUGAGCAUCUCCACUUUUCUCUUCACUGCACCGUAUACCUAAUGCUGGAUGCGUAUAUUUUGUAAAUUUAGCAAGCAAAAUGCCCAAAUGUUUUUCCCCCAAGUCAACUUUUUAACACCCUUCUGAUUCUUUACUUCCUGUUAUUGCAAAGUUCUAAAAAAAUAAUUUCAAAAAAAAUGGCAGGAUUUUAGAAUUCAGCUGACGAAUAUCUUUAAAUGAAAUCUUACAUGAAUUUUAAGAUACAGCGAAUUAAAUACACUUGUAAAAUAGCUUAUGAUGUUACAUGACAAAUUAUAUCACAAUCUAGUUUCCUACACAUCAGCCAGCUUGUUGAAAUGCUGUUUGAUACAUGCACAGAACUUUACAGCCAAAGCAAUGCAGGAAUAAACAACCUCCAAACGUGAGAAUGAUGGUGGUAUGUAACUUUACUUUUGCUUAACUGAACACUUCCAUCUGUGAAUGUGGCCCCGGGCUACAUUUUACUUGGUAGCCCCUAUCUCAUUGGUAGAUGACAGUGACUUGAAGAAGCUGCUGACCAGAAGCUGGUGACUUCCAAGUGUUUCCUUUAAGGAUGACACGGCCACUGUAGUUAGCAAGGACACCUUUUUAGGAAACUGUCAGGAGAUACUAGAUAAUUGGGCAGUAACAGGAACAGCACUUGGCAGUAUGACGACACAUUCUUUUUACUCUGAGGCGUUAACACUGCUGCUGAGGAGAAUUCCAGCUUAGUCAAGUGUCUGAACCUUUUCCCUUUUAUGACUUAAAGCACUGUCAACAGAGUAAUGGUUCACCUAGAAAUCCAAAAAAUCCUAACAGUGAUCAAUGAGAAAAUGAAAUGAUUUUUUUUUUUUGGCUCUGGCAGGCAAAAUAUAUGUAAAAAAUUCAGCACUUUAUUAAUAGACUACUUUCAUUUUAGUUAUUUUAAACAUAAUUAAGUUCAGUCACUUGAUUUUCUAGCCCCAGCUCAAGACAGGGGAGGCAUAAUGUCUGACAGAAAAGCCAUUUAAAAAUGAAAACAUGAAAAUGCAUUAGUUUGAGUCUAAUUUAGCAUGGGGUAACCUAUGGUCUCUAAGUGUAUUACUACGUUAACUUCCAGUGCAAUACCUGACUUUCACCAUAAGUGGAGAGGAGACGGGGUCUGAAUGCUGGUCUUCAACACACAAUGUUACCAGACCCUCAUCCGUAUGAAGGGGAACAAAGCCCUCCUCAAAAGACUUACUCAAGUUAACACCUGGGGAUGCCCAAGAAAUGAACGCGAUUAUUGUUCUGCUUCAGAAGGCAGAAAUACAGGGGACACACUUCAGAUAGGUUAAGACAAAAAGUUUUGUGUUUAAGGCAGCACUUCAGUUGCCUGAAAAUUCACUUCUGCAUAAUGCCUAAUUUUUUAAUGAUGCUGUGAAUAGAUGUUUUGUAAAAACUAUUUUUCUUUUUUUUUUUAUGAAAAAAGAGUAAUGUGUCCUCUGACAUUAGGACUAGGAGAGUUUGAAAAAAAGGACUUUUUUUUUUUUUUUUUUUUGAGACAGAGUUUCGUUAGUUACCCAGACUGGAGUGCAAUGGUGCGAUCUCGGCUCACCGCAACCUCCGCCUCCUGGGUUCAAGCUAUUCUCCUGCCUCAGCCUCCCAAGUAGCUGGGACUACAGGUGCGUACCACCAUGCCCAGCUAAUUUUUGUAUUUUUAGUAGAGACGGGGUUUCACCUUGUUGAUCAGGAUGUUCUCGAUCUCUUGACCUCGUGAUCCACCCGCCUCGGCCUCCCAAAGUGCUGGGAUUAUAGGCGUGAGCCACCGUGCCCAGCCAAAAAAAGGACUUUAAACAAAUGGAGUAUAUAAUCCUAUCUCUUUAUUAGAAUGAUGAAAAGAAUGGGGGUGUUCUCUGCUUACACAGUUACCACCUAGGAGUCAUAACAAAAUUCUUUUGCUAAUCACAGUGAAUAGGUUAAAAAAAGUUUAAAAAUUAUAGAUUUGGUAAAAUUGUCUUCUAUCACCUUUUUAACAUAAAAAUUUUUAACAUAUCUUUUCAGGCCGGGUGCUAUGGCUGAUGCCUAUAAUCCCAGCACUUUGGGAGGCUGAGGCGGGUUCAUCACUUGAGGCUGCAGCAAUUUCCCCAGUACCAUCAGAAAAUUAGAGACACUUUUUCUUAUAAAAAAGAUCCAGAUACUGAACCCAGCGUGGGUACUCAGGCCUGUAAUCCCAGAACUUCAGGACACUGAGGCGAGAGGAUCGCUGGAGCCCUGGAGUUCAAGACUAGCCUGUGUAACAUAGUGAAAUCCCGUCUCUACAUAAAUAAAAAUAAAUAAAUUAGCCAGGUGUGGUGGUGCAUUCCUGUGGUCCUAACAACUCAAGAGGUUGAGGCAAGAGGAUCCCUUGAGCCCAGGAGUUGGAGCCUGUAGUGAGCUAUGAUUGUGCCACUGCACUCUAGCCUAGGUGACAGAGUUAGACCCCAACUCAAAGAAGAAGAUCCAGACAUUUAAGGAAAUCUCUGUCAGGUUACAGACUGACCAGAGAGACAAUAAAAAGAUGAGUGAAUUUUCUAAGUUAUUUGGCAAAGUCUGUAUUCCUGAACUAAUAUCUGGGCUUCCUCAGUGACAGUGUCUGUCAUAUUCCUUUUCUUCCCAUAAGUCAGCCAUAUUUUCCAUUUUGUUUGCUUUGUAAUUUUGUAUUGAGGACUGUUUGAAUAUGACAUAGUAGCUCUGGAAAUUAGAUUAUCCCUCUCCUCAGGGAUUGGUUCUGUUACUUGUUGAGGGCUGCAGUUCAUUUGUAUAGUGAAUUUUCUAAGUUAUUUUUGCAAAGUCUGUAUUCCUGAAUUCAUCUCCAUAGCAUAAAAAGUGCAAGAUGAAAAAGCAAAGUGCUGAUGGAGAAGCCAUCCAGAUGAUCUAACAAAGAUAAUUCAUGAAGGUGGCUCCACUGAACAACAGGUGUUCAAUGCAGACAAAACAGCCUUACAUUGGAAUGUGAUGCCAUCUAGGACUUUCACAGAUGAAGAGAAGUCAAUGCCUUGUUUCAAAGAAUAGGCUAACUUUCUAGGGACUAAUGCAGCUGGAGGCUUUAAACUGAAGCCAGUGCUCAUUCACAUUGUGAAGAAAAUCUGAGAGCUAAGUCUACGCUGCCUGUGCUCUAUGAAUAGAAACAGUAUGGAUGGCAGCACAUCUGUUUACAGUAGGGUUUACUAUUUUAAGCCUACCCUUCAGGCUUAUUGUUCAGAAAAAAAAUUCUUUUCAAAAUACCACCACUCAUUGCCAGGUGCGGUGGCUCACGCCUAUAAUCCCAGCGCUUUGGGAGGCCUAGGUGGGUGGAUCACGAGAUCAGGAGUUCCAAGAACAGCCUGACCAACAUGGUGAAACCCUGUCUCUACUAAAAAUACAAAAAUUAGCUGGGCGUGGUGGCGUGCACCUGUAAUCCCAGCUAUUCAGGAGGCAGAGGCAGGAGAAUCACUUGAACCUGGGAGGCAGAGGUUGUGGUGAGUUGAGAUUGUGCCACUGCACUCCAGCCUGGGUGACAGAGUGAGACUCCAUCUCAAAAAAAAACUCAAAAUAUUACUGCUCAUUGACAAUCCUGACAUGGACCUGGACAGCCAUAAGCCCUGAGGGAGAUGCACAAGAUAAAUGCUGUUUGCAUGCUGCUAACACAACAUCCGUCCUGCAGCUCAUGGAUCAAGGAGUCAUUUUGAAUUUCAAGUCUUAUUUUUUAGGAAAUACAUUUUGUAAGGCUAUAGCUGCCACAGUCCUCUGAUGGAUCUAGGCAAAAAACACAGAAAACUUUCUGGAAAGGAUUCACCAUUCUAAAUGCCAUUAAGAACAUUUGUGAUUCAUGAGAGGAGGUCAAAAUGGGAGUUUGUAAGAAGUUGAUUCCAACCCUCAUGAAUGACUAAAAAUUUCAAGACCUCAGUGAAGGAAGAAAUUGCAGCAUGUGGUCAUAAUAACAAGAUAACUAAAAUUAGAAGUGGAGCUGGGUGUGGUGGUGUGUGCCUGUAAUCCCAGCUACCUGGAAGGCUGAAGUGGGAGGGCUGCUUGAGCCCAGGAGUUCGAGACUAGCCUGGGCAACAUAAGAGACCGUUUGCCAAAAAAAAAAAAAAAAAAGAAAAGAAAAAAGAAAGAAAAAUGGAGCCUGAAGAUGUGACUGAAUUGCUGCAAUCUCAUGAUACAACAUUAAUAGAUGAAGAGUUCUUCUCUAUGGAUGAGCACAGAAAAUAGUUUCUCAAAAUGGAAUCUACUCCUAGUGAAGAUACUGUGAACACUGUUGAAAAAGUUGACAGAGCAACAUCAGAGUUUGAGAGGAUUAACUCCAAUUUUGAAAGACACUGUAAUCUGGUGUCAAACAGCAUAGACAAAUCUUUCAAGAAAGAAAGUCAAUUAAUGCAGCCAACUUCACUGUCUUAUUUUAAGAAAUUGCCACAGUCGGCCGGGCGCGGUGGCUCAAGCCUGUAAUCCCAGCACUUUGGGAGGCCGAGGCGGGUGGAUCACGAGGUCAGGAGAUCGAGACCAUCCUGGUCAAUUUGGUGAAACCCCGUCUCUACUAAAAAUACAAAAAAUUAGCUGGGCAUGGUGGCGCGUGCCUGUAAUCCCAGCUACUCGGGAGGCUGAGGCAGGAGAAUUGCCUGAACCCAGGAGGCGGAGGUUGCGGUGAGCCGAGAUCGCGCCAUUGCACUCCAGCCUGGGUAACAAGAGCGAAACUCCAUCUCAAAAAAAAAAAAAAAAAGAAACUGCCACAGUCACCCCAGCCUUCAGCAACCAUCAAGCAACCAUCAUCAGCCAUCCACAUGGAGGCAAGACCCUCCAUCAGCUACAAGAUUACAACUUCCUAAAGGGUUAGAUGAUCAUUAGCAUUUUUUUAACAAUAAAGUUUUUUUUUCUUUUUUGAGACAGAGUCUCUGUUGCUCAGACUGGAGUGGUGUGAUUUCUCCAUCACCCAGGCUGGAGUGCAGUGGCCCAAUCUUGGCUUACUGCAACCUCCACCUCCCGGGUUCAAGCGAUUCUCCUGCUUCAGCCUCCUGAGUAGCUGGGAUUACAGGUGUGUGCCACCACAGCUGGCUAAUUUUUGUAUUUUUAGUAGAGACGGGGUUUCACCAUGUUGGUCAGGCUGGGAAAGUAUUUUUAAUUAAGGUAUGUACAUUGUUUUUCGGACAUAUGCCAUUACAUACUUAAUAGGCUACAGGCCUAAGAUGCACUGGGAAACCAAAUAAUUUUUUAAAUUUGUUUUAUUGUGAUGUUUGCUUUAUUUCACUGGUUUGGAACCAAACCUGCAGUGUCCCCAAGGUAUGCCUGUAAGUACACGAGUCCAUACGGGUAAAUGACUGAAUAAACAGGAAAGAAGAAACAAAUCUUCAAGAGUAACAUGCACAGAUACUGUCCUCUCCAGGGGCUGGAGCUUAAACCUUCUCAACCCACAGAGUAUGGAAAGGGAACAAUAGGAACUUGACAGUGGAGAAAUCUGGCAGACACCACUGUGACCAGGUGACCAAGCUCAGCACUGCCUGGGAGAAGUCUUGUGGUGGUCACAAGCACACAGUAGGAUGUGAUGAGAAACACAUCAAACGAACUCAAAUGGAGAGACAUUCUACAGACUACCUGGGCAGUACUCCUCAAAACUGUCAAGGUCACGAGAAACAAGGGAAGUCCAAGAAAUUGUCACAGGCUACAGAACGCAAAGGAGAUGGGAUGACUAAAUGCAGUACGUGCCUGGAUGGGACUCGGACAGAAAGCAGACAUUAGGGAAAAACUGGUGAAAUCCAAAUAAAGUCUGGAUUUUAGUUAAUGGUAACUACAAUGUUGGUUACUUAGUCAUGACAAAUGUUCCAGUCAUGAAAGAGGUAAACAAUGGGGGAGGCGAGGCUUGGUGGCUCACGCUUGUAAUCCCAGCACUAGGCGGAUCACGAGGUCAGGAGUUCAAAAACAGCCUGGCCAACCUGGUGAAACCCCAUCUCUACUAAAACCACAAAAAUUAGCUGGGCAUGGUGGCGGGCGCCUGUAAUCCCUGCUACUUGGGAGGCUGAGGCAGGAGAAUUGUUUGAAUCUGGGAGGUGGAGAUUGAAGUGAGCUGAGAUCGUACCACUGCACUCUAGCCUGGGUAAGGGUAAGACUCUGUCUCAGAAAAAAAAAAAAAAAAAAAGAAAA
This is a non-coding RNA of Callithrix jacchus (white-tufted-ear marmoset), 7163 nucleotides long. NCBI's taxonomy places the organism in Eukaryota, Metazoa, Chordata, Mammalia, Primates, Cebidae. The record is from RefSeq and is a predicted model, not a curated record.